UAUAACGGUCCUAAGGUAGCGAAAUUCCUUGUCGGGUAAGUUCCGACCUGCACGAAUGGCGUAAUGAUGGCCAGGCUGUCUCCACCCGAGACUCAGUGAAAUUGAACUCGCUGUGAAGAUGCAGUGUACCCGCGGCAAGACGGAAAGACCCCGUGAACCUUUACUAUAGCUUGACACUGAACAUUGAGCCUUGAUGUGUAGGAUAGGUGGGAGGCUUUGAAGUGUGGACGCCAGUCUGCAUGGAGCCGACCUUGAAAUACCACCCUUUAAUGUUUGAUGUUCUAACGUUGACCCGUGAUCCGGGUUGCGGACAGUGUCUGGUGGGUAGUUUGACUGGGGCGGUCUCCUCCUAAAGAGUAACGGAGGAGCACGAAGGUUGGCUAAUCCUGGUCGGACAUCAGGAGGUUAGUGCAAUGGCAUAAGCCAGCUUGACUGCGAGCGUGACGGCGCGAGCAGGUGCGAAAGCAGGUCAUAGUGAUCCGGUGGUUCUGAAUGGAAGGGCCAUCGCUCAACGGAUAAAAGGUACUCCGGGGAUAACAGGCUGAUACCGCCCAAGAGUUCAUAUCGACGGCGGUGUUUGGCACCUCGAUGUCGGCUCAUCACAUCCUGGGGCUGAAGUAGGUCCCAAGGGUAUGGCUGUUCGCCAUUUAAAGUGGUACGCGAGCUGGGUUUAGAACGUCGUGAGACAGUUCGGUCCCUAUCUGCCGUGGGCGCUGGAGAACUGAGGGGGGCUGCUCCUAGUACGAGAGGACCGGAGUGGACGCAUCACUGGUGUUCGGGUUGUCAUGCCAAUGGCACUGCCCGGUAGCUAAAUGCGGAAGAGAUAAGUGCUGAAAGCAUCUAAGCACGAAACUUGCCCCGAGAUGAGUUCUCCCUGACUCCUUGAGAGUCCUGAAGGAACGUUGAAGACGACGACGUUGAUAGGCCGGGUGUGUAAGCGCAGCGAUGCGUUGAGCUAACCGGUACUAAUGAACCGUGAGG
This 981-nucleotide ribosomal RNA is filed under the name Escherichia coli. Its description in RNAcentral is "partial 23S ribosomal RNA". It matches the Rfam family "Bacterial large subunit ribosomal RNA", at positions 1941 to 2916 of the family's 2925-position model. Lineage: Bacteria; Pseudomonadati; Pseudomonadota; Gammaproteobacteria; Enterobacterales; Enterobacteriaceae. The record is from RNAcentral.